RNAcentral lists this ribosomal RNA (497 nucleotides) under uncultured bacterium. Its description in RNAcentral is "partial 16S ribosomal RNA". It matches the Rfam family "Bacterial small subunit ribosomal RNA", at positions 28 to 507 of the family's 1533-position model. The record is from RNAcentral.
GAUGAACGCUGGCGGCGUGCCUAAUACAUGCAGGUCGAGCGAACAGACGAGGAGCUUGCUCCUCCGACGUUAGCGGCGGACGGGUGAGUAACACGUGGAUAACCUACCUAUAAGACUGGGAUAACUUCGGGAAACCGGAGCUAAUACCGGAUAAUAUAUUGAACCGCAUGGUUCAAUAGUGAAAGACGGUUUUGCUGUCACUUAUAGAUGGAUCCGCGCCGCAUUAGCUAGUUGGUAAGGUAACGGCUUACCAAGGCGACGAUGCGUAGCCGACCUGAGAGGGUGAUCGGCCACACUGGAACUGAGACACGGUCCAGACUCCUACGGGAGGCAGCAGUAGGGAAUCUUCCGCAAUGGGCGAAAGCCUGACGGAGCAACGCCGCGUGAGUGAUGAAGGUCUUCGGAUCGUAAAACUCUGUUAUUAGGGAAGAACAAAUGUGUAAGUAACUAUGCACGUCUUGACGGUACCUAAUCAGAAAGCCACGGCUAACUACGUG